RNAcentral lists this non-coding RNA (120 nucleotides) under Streptomyces abyssalis. Lineage: Bacteria; Bacillati; Actinomycetota; Actinomycetes; Kitasatosporales; Streptomycetaceae. The record is from RNAcentral.
GCCGGUGUGAUUCCGGCACGGUCGCGCCACUGUGAUCGGGGAGCGGACCCCAGCAAGGCCACGCCCUGUGGUCGCAAAGACUGGAAGACAGGGGCGAGCGGUGAUCCGGGAGUCAGGAGA